CCUGGCGGCACUAGCGCGGUGGUCCCACCUGACCCCAUGCCGAACUCAGAAGUGAAACGCCGUAGCGCCGAUGGUAGUGUGGGGUUCCCCAUGCGAGAGUAGGGAACUGCCAGGC
RNAcentral lists this ribosomal RNA (115 nucleotides) under Salmonella enterica subsp. enterica serovar Typhimurium str. CDC_2009K1288. The record is from RNAcentral. Lineage: Bacteria; Pseudomonadati; Pseudomonadota; Gammaproteobacteria; Enterobacterales; Enterobacteriaceae.